RNAcentral lists this long non-coding RNA (2899 nucleotides) under Olea europaea subsp. europaea. The record is from RNAcentral. Lineage: Eukaryota; Viridiplantae; Streptophyta; Magnoliopsida; Lamiales; Oleaceae.
AAAAUUUUAAUAUUCGAUGAUCUCCAUAAUCUUAUUCAAUUUAAGUAAUCUUAUUCAAUCACAUUAACAUGCCUCUCAAAUUAAUGUUGGUAAAAGUAUCAAUUUACAAUCAUGAACGAACGACAAUGACAAUACUCGUGCCCAUGAAGAAGAGACCCAAAUCACAGCAGAAACAACCAAGAACCACUCCAAGAACACUUCAAAGAGCUCAUAUCCCAAGAAGAAUUUUCAAAAUAAAUUCACAAAGUGUACCGACCUCACACAAUGAGCUCUAUCAGUCGAACAUAGAAUUUGCAUUCCAACGAAAGCUCUAACGAUCAAUUCACCGAUGAAAAGUUCAGCAAUAUAUUGCUGACCAAGAUGCUGCAGUUGGAAGAAAUCCAACCGAACAACCUACACCAAAAACUCAAAGAUCAUCCCUCCACUAGGAAUCCAAAACCACUCAAGGUUGACCUCUCAUGAGAAUCUAAAUCUUUAGCUCAUCAUUUAGCAUCAAUUUGUUUACAUGAAACUGAUGUAAAAAAGAACUCAAAGGUCCAACUCCAAUGGGCAAACCCCAAAAAUAACCUCACACACAUGCUACAGUCCAUCCUUCUUCUACUAUUCAUUAAGACCUCCAACAACAGCCGAAUAUACCAAAUCAACCCAUUACCAGGCCCAAAUACUAAAUCUGAAAGUUAAAAUCUCCAGCAACAGUCUAAUAUACCAAAUUGAACCAUAAUAAGGCCCAAACACCAAAUCCAAUAGUACUAAAACCAUGAACCUACACAUAACUACAAACUCGACAUAAAUUACAUCAUCUCCAUCUCCCAAACGCUAAACCAUUGUCGCUAUGGGUUUUUCUCCACGCCAACAAUGCCUCAUCCAAUCGGCAACCUAAUCUCUUUGUCUCUGGCAUUGCCUCCAUCCAGGCUCGGCUUGGCAGUAUCUUGAGAAUUUCCCUUCUCUCUAUUUCUUUGUCCCUUCUCUCUAUUUCUUUGCAAUUUUUGAACCCUUUUCAUAUUAGGGUAAUUUUGAGAUUCAUUUAUCUAUGCUUGCUUUGAAACUAGACCAAGUGAUUGAAGGCAUCAGAAGUGCAUAGUAGAUUCAAGGGAAUGGCGCCAAGAGAGCCGUUGCUGCGGUAAAUUAGUUGAAGAGCUUAGCAGCUUCGAUAGAGAUAUCGCCUUUACCGACACCGACCGUGCCGACAUCUUCAUCUGCUUGUUAUGUUAUUUUAUCUAUAUCAGUCUAUUGAUCGCAGAGUAAUUUAGGGCUUUAGGGUUUAAAGAAAAUGCGCCAUUGGAGAACUAAAGAGUACUCUUUCUCUUCUCUCCGUCUAUUUCAAUUUUGAUAAAUGGGAGUGAAAGAGGACGAUUUUGCUUUUCUGAACGAUUUACAAUAAUGGAGGUUGAAAGUCUCAAUAUGUUGAAACGUGAACAAGAAAAAGAAACCAUUAACUCAAUUCGACGAAGACCAAGCGGAAGGAGCAAAACCUCAUCUUGCUGUGAGAAAACCGAACCAAGAAAACGAGAAAAAAUUCUAAGAAAGAGGCUCUAAUACCAUGUCAAGUAUGAUAUUCAAUAAGACUUGAUGCCUCACAAUGUGAAAUGUUCUCAUUGUAUAGAACCAAAUCAUAACUAAAUAUGGUAAAAAUAAUCUAUCUAUUUGUCAUAAUCUUCGACUAUUUCCAUAAUCUUAUUCAAUCUCCACAAUCUUCAAUCUCAUUAACACUUUGAGACUAGUUUACUUAGGAUCAUGUUACAUAUUUCCCGCACCAUUACUUCUACAACUUAAGUUCUUCUAGAAGUCUUUGUACUAGUGAAUUAUAGUUCCUAUUUGGUGCAAAUUAAAAUAAAGAUUUUAAUUUAAGUCAAAGUCAAUAACUAAUUUUAACUGCACCUUUAUGGGAUCCACAACUUUACAACCAUACAUUUCAACAAUUUUUAUCAAAAUCUACUAAAAAACUAAUUUUAAUCCCCACCAAACGUGGGCAUAAUUUAUUUAUCAAUAUGGGAUCAACUUACAAUGUCUCAUUACUAUUUCAUUUUAAUCCCCACCAAACGUGGGCAUAAUUUAUUUAUCAAUAUGGGGUCAACUUACAAUGUCUCAUUAUUAUUUCAUUGCAGUUCAUUGCUUCUUUCUAUCAACACAUCGUGGUUCAGAGAUGAGUAUCUCUUUCUCUCUCUCUCUCUAGUGUGCAUGAGCCUACAUGCAUUCCCAUCUACGGUAUAAAUAUGCAUACAAGAAUGCACAAAAGAAUAUAUAUUGAAGAUAGGGACAUAUGGUUGUUUGAAAAACUGAUAUAAUGGGGAAAGAUUGUACUAAAAUCAACAUUACUGACAAAUAUUAACUUCUGUGGACCUAGGUGAAAAGUCCACUUGAAGAAAAUGAAAUGGUUGGAAUCACUAAUUACAUUGACUUUGGCUUUGAGUUACAGACAAGGUAUUUUCAUAUGUUAAAUAUCGCAUACAUUGAUAUCAUAUAAAGUGGUGGAAUCCGACUUCAUUUUAUACUUUUCGUGAAGUAUUGACGAUGAAAAGUCAUUAAAUAAUAUUCAAGAGUCCACUUUUCAAGUGGCUGCAUCUUGGCAAGCCAAUAAAAACUUCUUACUGAAGGUAACACAAUUUUGAUAAUGUUUCUAAUCAUUUAGUUUGUGAUAGUAUUAUUUGUGAAGCAAUUAAGUUUAAGACAUCAAUGUGUCAAUUUUGCAGGGAAAUUCAUCAAUAGCUUUAGCAUUUAAAUCAUGGUGGAAACCUUCUUUCAUUUUCAGCAUGUCAGGUAUCUGAUAUGUGUGUCCCCUCGUUCUUAAGAGAUUUAGCUACAAAAUUCUAUGCCUCAAAAUUCGCUGUAUAAUAUCGAGCAUUUUAUAAUAGCUUGUUGUUUAAUCUUCAAAUAUUGCUCAUUAGUAGUAAACUUGCAC